This 406-nucleotide ribosomal RNA is filed under the name uncultured bacterium. RNAcentral describes it as "partial 16S ribosomal RNA". It matches the Rfam family "Bacterial small subunit ribosomal RNA", at positions 28 to 526 of the family's 1533-position model. The record is from RNAcentral.
GACGAACGCUGGCGGCGUGCCUAAUACAUGCAAGUAGAACGAGUUGCGAACGGGUGAGUAACGCGUGGUAAACUGCCUCAUAGUGGGGGAUAACUAUUGGAAACGGUAGCUAAUACCGCCUACCAUCGGUUGUGCCCAGCUGGGAUUAGCUAGUCGGUGGGGUAACGGCUCACCUAGGCGACGAUGCCUCGCUGGUCUGAGAGGAUGACCGGCCACACUGGAACUGAGACAAGGUCCAGACUCCUACGGGAGGCAGCAGUGGGGAAUAUUGCGCAAUGGGCGCAAGCCUGAUCCAGCCAUGCCGCGUGUAUGAAGAAGGCCUUCGGGUUGUAAAGUACUUUCAGCGAGGAAGCGUUACUCACAGAGAAAGCAACGGCUAACUCCGUGCCAGCAGCCGCGGUAAUUC